GUGCUCACUUUGGCAGCACAUGUACUAAAAUUGGAAUGAUACAGAGAAGAUUAGCAUGGCCCCCGUGCAAAGAUGACAUGCAAAUCCAUGAACCAUUCCAUAUUAAA
Small nuclear RNA from Bison bison bison, 107 nucleotides. NCBI's taxonomy places the organism in Eukaryota, Metazoa, Chordata, Mammalia, Artiodactyla, Bovidae. The record is from Ensembl.